UAGUGGACCGAUGUUCGUGCACCAUUUUCCAUUGGAAAACGUUCGCAUCCGGCGCGCCGGCUGAAACUUCGGCCGGUCGCGCGCGGGUCGUUCGAUGCUCGUUGAAUCGAGGCCUUUUCGUUGUGCCACGUCGCCACCCCGUCCUUUUUCUAUUUUUCUUCUCUGCUCCACCGCACACUCCCUCGUUCCUUAUCCAUUCGCUGGGUGAUUCAUCCCCUUUUCCUCCAUUCUAUUCACGCCUGAUUAGCUCGCGCCGGCGAUGGCCGCCACCAACUCCGCGCGCUAUCCCGCAUGUACUGCCGCUCAUCCUCUCUUUUGUCUUGGUUCCUCUUCACCGGUGAGCCGUAUCACGGCGCGGCGCUGCGGACAUGGUCGGCGGCGCUGUUCAGGUAGGAGACAGUCACAUAUGCUACAACCAGGGGUGUUGGUUUUUUGCUUGGAUUGCCCCGUUGUGCUGCAUGCAUCAACGGCGGCCAGCAGCUACCCAUGCUGCAACCAGCAGGUCCUAGCGACGAAGAUGACGACCUCCUGGUGCUUCAAUCGCUCUCUGUUUUGCUGGAAACGGCAUCGCUGGGUGCUGGGACGGGCUCUCUGUUUUGCUACAAUCAAUCACUAGGAGUUCUUCCUCAUGAGUCGUUUUGCUGGAACCGGUGUUCAAUUUUGCUGGAACCGGGUAAUUUUCUGCUACAAUCGAUCAAUGGAGUUCUUGCUGAUGAGUUGUUAUUUGCUGGAACCAGUGUUCAAUUUUGUUGGAACCAGGUAAAUAUUUGCUUCAACCGACAAAUGGAGGAUUUGUUGCUUUUGGAGUUUUGUGCUCGGCAUGACUGUCCAAGUUGAUGACCGCGGCGACACCGGCGGUGCUCCAACCAUGGUGUAUGUGUGCUGGAACCGGCCGCGCUAGAGCUGCAAUGGUCUGGUUUUGUCAGCUACGGACAUGACGUGCAGCGACGACGAGGUUAUAGCAGAAGGGUGGCACGGGGGCUACGACGGUAGUGUUGCAACGAGCAGCGCCGCAAGGGGACGGGUGCUGCCGCCCCUCGCCAGAGCGCACGCGCGCGGGGGGCAAGGGCAGAGAUGCUCGCGUGGAACAGGAAGGAGGGGAUUUUUGUUUGCGUUGACCAACGCAAGAGAAGGAGGCGCUUCGGCGACAGGCUACAAAUCACCAGACCGGAGGGAGAAGAACGAGUUGGGGUUAAGUGCCAGAUCGGACGGUCCCGACUCGCUGCAUCCGGCGGCUGACGUUCGACCGGCCCAACAGUUGGGCCGGCGCGCCGGCGCAGAUAACCGCCCUUUUCCAUUUGUCUUCAUUCCACAGCGAUCUCUGUUUGUCUCUUCACUCCCCCAUGCCUUAUUUUCUUCUUAAUUACCCAACCACAAUGUACUCUCUUAUGUUUUUUCUAACUAUCACCACGUUGCUUGCACUGUUGCA
Long non-coding RNA from Triticum aestivum (bread wheat), 1429 nucleotides. RefSeq lists it as uncharacterized. The transcript has 2 exons. Lineage: Eukaryota; Viridiplantae; Streptophyta; Magnoliopsida; Poales; Poaceae. The record is from RefSeq and is a predicted model, not a curated record.